RNAcentral lists this ribosomal RNA (436 nucleotides) under Thermoanaerobaculia bacterium. RNAcentral's name for it is "bacterial SSU rRNA". It matches the Rfam family "Bacterial small subunit ribosomal RNA", at positions 1 to 421 of the family's 1533-position model. The record is from RNAcentral. Lineage: Bacteria; Pseudomonadati; Acidobacteriota; Thermoanaerobaculia.
UUUAAGUGGAGAGUUUGAUCCUGGCUCAGAAUGAACGCUGGCGGCGUGCUUAACACAUGCAAGUCGCACGAGGCGGGGGGGGCAACCCCUCCAGUCGAGUGGCGGACGGGUGAGUAACACGUGGGUAACCUGCCCGGAUGUGGGGAAUACCUCGGGGAAACUCGAGCUAAUACCGCAUGACAUCUUCGGGACGAAAGUCCUGACGAUCAAAGCGGGGUCGCAAGAUCUCGCGCUUCCGGAUGGGCCCGCGCCCGAUUAGCUAGUUGGCGAGGUAACGGCUCACCAAGGCGACGAUCGGUAGCCGGCCUGAGAGGGUGAUCGGCCACACCGGAACUGAGACACGGUCCGGACUCCUACGGGAGGCAGCAGUGGGGAAUCUUGCGCAAUGGGCGAAAGCCUGACGCAGCAACGCCGCGUGGAGGAUGAAGGCCCUUGG